AGRAGGGUGCGAGCGKUKKUUCGGAAAUACUGGGCGUAAAGCGCGCGCCRGGCGGCUCUUUAAGUCCGUAGGURAARRACCGGGGCUCAACCCCCGUGUCAGCCAKGGAUACUGGAGGGGCUGGAGACAGGUAGAGGCAAGCGGAAUUCCGGGUGUAGCGGUGGAAUGCGUAGAGAUCCGGAAGAACACCGGAGGCGAAGGCGGCUUGCUGGACCUGGUCUGACGCUGAGGCGCGAAAGCGUGGGGAGCGAACAGGAUUAGAUACCCUGGUAGUCCACGCCGUAAACGAUGGGCACUAGACGCUGGUGGGAUCGACCCCUUCAGUGUCGAAGCUAACGCGAUAAGUGCCCCGCCUGGGGAGUACGGCCGCAAGGCUG
Molecule: ribosomal RNA, 377 nt
Filed under: uncultured bacterium
Lineage: Bacteria
Description: partial 16S ribosomal RNA
Rfam family: Bacterial small subunit ribosomal RNA
Source: RNAcentral